UUUAUAACAGAAUGCUAAGUUCCCUUGAAGGCAGAAAAGAGCCAAAACUGCAAGUCAUGUAGCCCAGGCAUGAACAAUAGAAAAAGCUUUGACCUCCAACAACGUCCAGAACCAACAAUUCUCCCUGCAAAACCAAGAAGACUGGGACAUAACCCGAACCAGACCACUGGGACACUUUCAGAAGUGAGAAGUCUAUCGGCCAGGAAGAUCCAGGGUUAAAAUCCGCCUCAACAUACCUUGCAAUAAAUGGUCAAAUUUGCAGCCCUCCAAUCAGAUCCCUCCAAGUCAAUAUUCCUAAAUUCUUUCCCUGGCCCUCUGCUGAUCUCUUAAAACUUGACCUAGAUCCCAAACAGGGAAGACAGAUUUGAGCUGCGUCUUCUAUUGCCUUGCUUGCGGCCUUUGCAAUAAAGCCUUUUUUUUGUCAAGAGCCAGUGCCAUUUUACUGGCUUCUCUGUGCACUGGAAAGUGAGCCCAUUUGCUGAAUAACAAUUCUGGUACCCAAGGUGGGACAAAAGCCUGCCCAAGGCACUAUAGCGCCUCAGUGGGGUCCUGAGACUCUUUGCAUCCAAGUGGCAUCACCAAGAUUGGUUUGUCUGUUUGUCUGGAGCCUCAGUUGGCUGUCCCUGUUUCUCCACUUGGGGUCCUCCUCCAACACUACUUUGUCUUUUGAGGAAAGAAUUGCUUCUGGAUCAGAUGUCUUUUGGUUGUGGAAGCUAAGAAGUCUGGAAUGAAGAGGCCAGCUGAUUCGGUUCAUGGUAAAGGUCCUCUUCCUUCCUUGUAGAUGGCCAGCUUCUUCCUGCGUCCUCACCUGGUGAAGAGACAACAUUUUUUCUUCCUCUUCUUAUAAGGCCAUUAACCUUAUGAGGCCCCAAAUCUCACCCUCAUGAGAUCUAACCUAAUUAUUUUCUAAGCCUUAUUUAAUCUGACCCUAAUUAUUUUCCAAAUACCAUCUGCAAAUGCCAUUAAACUUGGAGUUAGGG
RNAcentral lists this long non-coding RNA (980 nucleotides) under Homo sapiens (human). Its description in RNAcentral is "HSALNT0061643". The record is from RNAcentral. Lineage: Eukaryota; Metazoa; Chordata; Mammalia; Primates; Hominidae.